UACGGGGGGAGCAAGCGUUGUUCGGAUUUACUGGGCGUAAAGGGCGCGUAGGCGGCCACCGCAAGUCAAUUGUGAAAUCUCCGGGCUUAACUCGGAAAGGUCAACUGAUACUGCGGGGCUAGAGUGCGGAAGGGGCAACUGGAAUUCUCGGUGUAGCGGUGAAAUGCGUAGAUAUCUGGAGGAACACCGGUGGCGAAGGCGGAUCUCUGGGCCUUACCUGACGCUGAGGCGCGAAAGCGUGGGGAGCAAACAGG
RNAcentral lists this ribosomal RNA (254 nucleotides) under uncultured bacterium. Its description in RNAcentral is "partial 16S ribosomal RNA". It matches the Rfam family "Bacterial small subunit ribosomal RNA", at positions 524 to 776 of the family's 1533-position model. The record is from RNAcentral.